This 259-nucleotide long non-coding RNA is filed under the name Dasypus novemcinctus (nine-banded armadillo). Its description in RNAcentral is "lncRNA (ENSDNOG00000050313.1)". The record is from RNAcentral. Lineage: Eukaryota; Metazoa; Chordata; Mammalia; Cingulata; Dasypodidae.
CAAUGCAUAAACAUUUGGAAAAAACUUGAUGUCAGACAGAUGGAGUGCUUCAUAAAUGGUAGAAGGAAGCUCUAUAUCUUUCCCUCUGUUUCUACUCGAUUCUCCAACAAUGAAGCUCAGCUGAGAGUGUCAGGAUUGGAACAUGAACAAAGUUAUCAGAAAAAACUGGACUACCACAACCAAAGAUGUCACAGUUGGCACACAAUUCUGAUAAGGUAAGCCAAGGUCAGGGAGUAAUGUUCUUUAAGACACAAUACUA